Molecule: RNA transcript, 1997 nt
Organism: Gastrolobium bilobum
Lineage: Eukaryota; Viridiplantae; Streptophyta; Magnoliopsida; Fabales; Fabaceae
Gene name: transcription initiation factor TFIID subunit 8-like
Exons: 3
Source: RefSeq, a predicted model, not a curated record
GCAUAAUCCUCCUUCCAAAAUUCAACUUCUCUCUCUCUCUCUCUCCCUCUUCCUGUGAGUGUGUCCCUCUGCUUCGAUUGCUACCAUUGAUCGAAGGGUUUGCGAGGGUUUAAGCUAAACCUAACCCAAACCCUAAAUUUCCCAAUUUCUUCUCUCGAUCUUCCACUCACUCUCAUCAUCCUCGAAAUUGCUAAGCGAUAGUCUCUCCCUCCAUCCCUCAGAUCCAAUCAAUGAGGUGGCGUUGGUGAGGUUUGAUUCUCGGUGAGUUUUAAAGAUGAGGAAUAAUAGGGAUUUGGGGAAUGUAUGUUGGAUUUUCAAGUGAUAUGAAGUGCUGAAUAUGAGCAAUGGUGGUGGGAAGACUGGAAGACAGCUUGAACAGCCUACCACAUGCAGGAGGAGAAAAGUGGGUGGUGGUGAUGAUUUUGCCCAAGCAAUUGCAAAGAUUGCAGUAGCACAAGUAUGUGAGAGUCAGGGUUUUCAGGCAUUUCAGCAGUCAGCUCUCGAGGCAUUAUCUGACGUUGCUGCUCGGUAUAUUUUGAACGUUGGGAAGUCUGCACAUUACUAUGCUAAUCUUGCUGGUAGAGCUGAAUGCAAUGUUUUUGAUGUCAUUCAAGGGUUAGAAGAUAUGGGAUCAGUACAGGGGUUUACAGGUGCCUCGGAUAUUGAUCAUUGCCUUGUAAGUUCGGGCAUUAUUCGGGAAAUUGUUCACUUUGUUAAUGAUGCUGAACCAAUUCUGUUUGCACACCCCUUUCCUCGGUUUCCAGUCGUGAAAGAACGGGUGCUGACUCCUAGUUUUUUGCAAAGAGGAGAAGAGCCUCCUGGGGAGCAUAUUCCUGCUUGGUUGCCAGCAUUCCCUGAUCCACAAACUUAUUCACGGUUACCUACAGUGAAUGGAAGAGGGAAAGAACCUCAUGCUACCAAAUUUGAGCAAGAAAGAGAGAAUGGCAAGGGGGAGCGGCCUCUGUUAAAUUUGCAGCAGCAUAUGGUCUCAAAUAUGUUUGAAAAGUCCACCUUGAUCGACCCUGCAGAUGCUAAGGCUAAAGGAGUAGCAGCGGAAAGGAACCCGUUUCUUGCUGCACCUUUGAGAAUUGAGGAUAAGGAAAUUGCUUCUGUUGCUCCUCCAGCUAAGCUCUUUAAUGGUGUAGCUUCUGACAAGCCUGUUGUGGAAAAUUUUGUUGAAAAUGAACCCAUUUCAGUAUUGGAGACAUUUGCUCCUGCAAUUGAAGCAAUGAAAAGCACAUGCUGUCAUUCCAAGGAAGAUCAGACGAAAUUUCGUUUGAAUGAGAAGCCUGCUGUGCGUUUUAAGAUUGGAAUUAAAAACAAAUUCUUAGGAAGGUCCAUUGGUUUGAUUCCUCAAAAAGAGGAGCAUAAAAAGACUUUACCGUGGUUUACAAUGGAAGAUGGGAAGGAUGACAGGCAAAAGAGAGCCGAGAAAAUUCUGAGGGAAUCUUUAGAAAACCCAGAUCAGCUUGUUCAGUUGUAAAUUAAAUUGCUUCAAUUAGAAUCUGUAUACUUGAUCAGGAGAAUGUCAGAAUAGUUAGUUUUGGGAUAUUGAAAUCUAGGUAACUGUCUGCUUAUGGGCAUUAUAGGAUGGAUGUUACUAUUUUGCUCAGACAUGUUCCCAUUUUAACAAUCUUUCAGGGUGGAAACUCAAGAUGGAUUGAAAGGUUUGCUGCAAUGGUGGUUUGAAAUGUUUGCUGCAAUGGUGGUUUUUUAGUGUUAAGGACCAAAUAGGGCCUCGAUAAAUUUUUCAGGGACCAAAUAGGACCUUCAGCUUUCCAAAACUCCAACAAGACAUAAGACACGUUCAAAACGACGUCGUAUUACUUCCACGCUGGCAUACUUAACGGUGACUCAGCAAAGUAACGGUCCACGUGUGCUCCGUUAGUUGGGCCAUCAGAUACCAACUAACGGAAGGACGAACGUGGCCCUUUUUUUUUCAAAUAUUAGGGACUAAAAUGAGCCUUUUUUAUUGUUCAGGACUAAAAUGUGCCUCG